RNAcentral lists this ribosomal RNA (876 nucleotides) under Thysanorea clavata. RNAcentral describes it as "SSU rRNA". It matches the Rfam family "Eukaryotic small subunit ribosomal RNA", at positions 87 to 974 of the family's 1831-position model. The record is from RNAcentral. Lineage: Eukaryota; Fungi; Ascomycota; Eurotiomycetes; Chaetothyriales; Herpotrichiellaceae.
CUGCGAAUGGCUCAUUAAAUCAGUUAUCGUUUAUUUGAUAGUACCUUUACCUGGAUAACCGUGGUAAUUCUAGAGCUAAUACAUGCUAAAAACCUCGACUUCGGAAGGGGUGUAUUUAUUAGAUAAAAAACCAAUGCCCUUCGGGGCUCCUUGGUGAUUCAUAAUAACUUAACGAAUCGCAUGGCCUUGCGCCGGCGAUGGUUCAUUCAAAUUUCUGCCCUAUCAACUUUCGAUGGUAGGAUAGUGGCCUACCAUGGUCUUAACGGGUAACGGGGAAUUAGGGUUCUAUUCCGGAGAGGGAGCCUGAGAAACGGCUACCACAUCCAAGGAAGGCAGCAGGCGCGCAAAUUACCCAAUCCCAAUUCGGGGAGGUAGUGACAAUAAAUACUGAUACGGGGCUCUUUCGGGUCUCGUAAUUGGAAUGAGUACAAUCUAAAUCCCUUAACGAGGAACAAUUGGAGGGCAAGUCUGGUGCCAGCAGCCGCGGUAAUUCCAGCUCCAAUAGCGUAUAUUAAAGUUGUUGCCGUUAAAAAGCUCGUAGUUGAACCUUGGACCUGGCUGAUCUGUCCUCCUAAUCGAGCGCACGGAUUCGGUCGGGUCUUUCCUUCUGGGGAGCCCUAUGCCCUUCACUGGGUGUAGUGGGGAACCAGGACUUUUACCUUGAAAAAAUUAGAGUGUUCAAAGCAGGCCUUUGCUCGAAUACAUUAGCAUGGAAUAAUAGAAUAGGACAUCGGUUCUAUUUUGUUGGUUUCUAGGACCGCUGUAAUGAUUAAUAGGGAUAGUCGGGGGCGUCAGUAUUCAAUUGUCAGAGGUGAAAUUCUUGGAUUUAUUGAAGACUAACUACUGGGAAAGCAUUCGCCCAAGGAUGUUUUCAUU